CUCUAGGGCCAAUUGAAUUUGAAAAGUGGUGCAGAGUUUCUAAAUCGGAUUUGAUUUGAUUAGAGGAUUUCGGAUCGGCAGACGACAUGGCUGGUAGAUGUCACUUUGGUGCUGACAGUUGAGAUCGAUCAUUGAGGUUAAUAUCAAUGGUCGAAGUUGAAAGGCUUUCCACUAGGAGACAUUACUUGGGAUGGAUCGAUCAGAAAGUGAGGAUCGGUAGGAUCCGAGACUGUUCGGAUCUUUGACUUGCUUAUGUCUUUGGCUUGGGUGAUACAUUACCCCUAACACAUGCCCCAUACUUUCUAGUUUGAGCC
Molecule: long non-coding RNA, 314 nt
Filed under: Elaeis guineensis (African oil palm)
Lineage: Eukaryota; Viridiplantae; Streptophyta; Magnoliopsida; Arecales; Arecaceae
Description: long non-coding RNA (EGUI_LNC005086)
Source: RNAcentral